ACGAACGCUGGCGGCAUGCCUAAUACAUGCAAGUCGAACGAGAUCUUCGGAUCUAGUGGCGCACGGGUGCGUAACGCGUGGGAAUCUGCCCUUGGGUUCGGAAUAACGUCGGGAAACUGACGCUAAUACCGGAUGAUGACGUAAGUCCAAAGAUUUAUCGCCCAGGGAUGAGCCCGCGUAGGAUUAGCUAGUUGGUGGGGUAAAGGCCUACCAAGGCGACGAUCCUUAGCUGGUCUGAGAGGAUGAUCAGCCACACUGGGACUGAGACACGGCCCAGACUCCUACGGGAGGCAGCAGUAGGGAAUAUUGGACAAUGGGGGCAACCCUGAUCCAGCAAUGCCGCGUGAGUGAUGAAGGCCUUAGGGUUGUAAAGCUCUUUUACCCGGGAUGAUAAUGACAGUACCGGGAGAAUAAGCCCCGGCUAACUCCGU
RNAcentral lists this ribosomal RNA (431 nucleotides) under uncultured bacterium. Its description in RNAcentral is "bacterial SSU rRNA". It matches the Rfam family "Bacterial small subunit ribosomal RNA", at positions 29 to 506 of the family's 1533-position model. The record is from RNAcentral.